GCGGCAGUACGCGGCCAGCGCCAGGACCAGCAGGGGGGUGACCAGGAGGAACCCCACCACCAGCAGGGCCACGCAGCCGCCGUCUGUGAGCAGACAUUAAAACAGCUCCUGAUGUGUUUGUUGGAGCGAGCGAGGGAGCAGAUAAAAGCAGGAGGUGACGCAUCCUGUGUGGCAUGUUUGUGAGACACAGAGCCUAACUCCACCCUAAGCCCCGAGCACUAACUGCCGGAUCAAAGUUAUGAGAUUAGGUCUUCUAGAUGCUUCAUAAGAACGAUGGAGGUGGUCGUCUUCCUGCUUUUUCCUUUAUGUUUUUAUUGCUCGACUCUGAAGAGUGACAAAGAAAGCCGAACACGACCAUGACGGUGGCCGGCGUCAGGAUGGUGCCGAACACCAGGCCGGCGAGGCAGGCGUU
Long non-coding RNA from Austrofundulus limnaeus, 412 nucleotides. RefSeq lists it as uncharacterized. The transcript has 4 exons. The record is from RefSeq and is a predicted model, not a curated record. NCBI's taxonomy places the organism in Eukaryota, Metazoa, Chordata, Actinopteri, Cyprinodontiformes, Rivulidae.